CCUACGGGUGGCAGCAGUGAGGAAUAUUGGUCAAUGGGCUUACGCCUGAACCAGCCAAGUCGCGUGAGGGAAGACUGCCCUAUGGGUUGUAAACUUCUUUUGUGCGGGAGCAAUAAUGGUCACGUUUGGCCAGACGAGAGUACCGUACGAAUAAGCAUCGGCUAACUCCGUGCCAGCAGCCGCGGUAAUACGGAGGAUCCGAGCGUUAUCCGGAUUUAUUGGGUUUAAAGGGAGCGUAGGUGGAUGGUUAAGUCAGUUGUGAAAGUUUGCGGCUCAACCGUAAAAUUGCAGUUGAAACUGGCAGUCUUGAGUACAGUAGAGGUGGGCGGAAUUCGUGGUGUAGCGGUGAAAUGCUUAGAUAUCACGAAGAACUCCGAUUGCGAAGGCAGCUCACUGGACUGCAACUGACACUGAGGCUCGAAAGUGUGGGUAUCAAACAGGAUUAGAUACCCUAGUAGUC
This 460-nucleotide ribosomal RNA is filed under the name uncultured bacterium. RNAcentral describes it as "partial 16S ribosomal RNA". It matches the Rfam family "Bacterial small subunit ribosomal RNA", at positions 338 to 795 of the family's 1533-position model. The record is from RNAcentral.